CUGCAAUGAUGGCAUUUCUUAGGACACCUUUGGAUUAAUAAUGAAAACAACUACUCUCUGAGCAGC
Bison bison bison is the source of this 66-nucleotide small nucleolar RNA. Its record names the gene SNORD58. It matches the Rfam family "Small nucleolar RNA SNORD58". From Rfam's summary of the family: snoRNA U58 is found in introns 1, 3 and 6 of the ribosomal protein RPL17 gene in humans. U58 is a member of the C/D class of snoRNA which contain C (UGAUGA) and D (CUGA) box motifs. The record is from Ensembl. NCBI's taxonomy places the organism in Eukaryota, Metazoa, Chordata, Mammalia, Artiodactyla, Bovidae.